Molecule: RNA transcript, 701 nt
Organism: Calypte anna (Anna's hummingbird)
Lineage: Eukaryota; Metazoa; Chordata; Aves; Apodiformes; Trochilidae
Gene: BTC
Gene name: betacellulin
Exons: 6
Source: RefSeq, a predicted model, not a curated record
CCGGGCAGGCGGCAACGCGCAUGGAGGCGGCGGCCCCGGCCCCGGGCGGCGGUCCCGGUACCCUGCUGCUGUGCCUGGCCCUCGCCUCCGGUUUGGCUUUUUUCACCGGCGUGGGGGCCGAUGCCAAUGUCACCGAGGGGCUCUCCUGCAGCACGGCCGAGGGCUGCACGGGCAACGUGACACGGCUGAGGCGACAGGGACACUUCUCCAGGUGCCCCGAGGAGUACAAACACUACUGCGUCAAAGGGAGAUGCCGGUUCCUGGUGGCUGAGAAAGCACCAGCCUGCGUGUGCGAGCGGGGCUACACGGGGGCUCGCUGUGAAAGCGUGGACAUCUUCUACCUGCGAGGUGACCGGGGACAGAUCGUCAUCAUCUCCUUGAUCGCCGCCAUCGUCACCCUCAUCAUCCUCAUCAUCUGCGCCUGCAUCUGCAGUCACCACUGCCGGAAGCAGCGGAGGAAGAGGAAGGCAGAAGAGAUGGAGACGUUAAACAAGGAUUCGCCUUCCAAAACCGAGGGCGUGCUGGAGACGGGCAUCGCGUGAAGGUGCUGAGCCCGGGGGUGACAGCAGCCCCUGUGAGGUGACAGCAGCCCCAGGAGCUCCAGGUACCUGCGGGCAGGUCCCAGGCGGCGGCACCGGCUGGCUCCAGGGUUGGGGAAUAAACAGUGACAACGGCUUCAAUAAAGGGGUGACGGAAACGGU